CUGGAUAACACUAGGUUUGUGUUUGUUAGACGUCGAUCACUUGGCGACUAGUUUUUUGUGUUGGCACUCGUUCAGAUUAUCCAUCUUCAGGUUCGUCCAUCAGCUUCACUAUGCGGAGUAGUCCACUAGUUACGUCAUCUUGGGGUCGACUCAGUUCUUGUCUUCCGCAUCACGUGAUCAACUACCGUACCUAAUGAGAUGCAUGAUGCACAUGUAUGAAUGUACAUAGGAAUAGCAUAAGACAAAUAAUCUACACCAAAGAGGAUGAAAGACUUAUAAUAAAGCAUUAAGCAAAUACUAGCUAACGGUAUAGGACUAAUUAUAAUAAUUACGCUAUUCCAGUCUAGUCGGAGGUAGCUCAUACAUCAAGAAACCCUAAACCUUGUACGAGUCCUAUAUUUUCCUUAGAUAGCGCAUAACACCGAAAGACUAACAAUAUUCAAACUCCUAUUAUUGGACACCCUGAGUUAUAGUACAUGCAGGAAUAAUUUAACUAACCUUUUAAAUCAGGUUUUUAGAUUAAUUUGAAUUACAUACUAAUUAAAUAGGACAUUACACUAUUCGCUCUAACGGAUAAAACAUUAUCAAAUAAUAUAGCGUUUGAUAAAACUACAUUCUCAACAACUUAAAUAUCGAGAGUACUUAUGUACACUGGCCAUUAUGAAAUUCUCGGAUUUUACUUAAGAUCUACUUCAAGCAUCGACGAAAUAAAUCCAAAGCAAUUUAAUCAACAUCUAUCUGCCAGACCUUAGAAACACUAGUCCUAUAAUUUUUUAUUAUUAAUUUGGUCACAUAAUUUAGAUGUGUCUACCCUUACCUUUCAUAUGAAUCACAUCUAAAAUCUUGAUUUCAACACACAUAUGCUAAAUCAAGAAAAUCACCACAUUCAACAAUUUAGCUAGCAGGAAUAAUAGAUCAUCUUACCAUGACCGAUCUGACACGAUAGUCGGAAGAACGACAAUGGUUUUCGCUUGACGUCUUUGACCGCACACACCUGACGAGCGAUGCACAUAAUCUCGUUUUUUACUAGAUACUCAGGGGAUGCAUUUUGUCGAGCUGGUGGUGCGUGGCCAGCACAAGAGCAUCUUCACGGUUUGAUGACGACAUAAUGGAAACAGAUUGGUUUAACGCGAUGAGCAGAAGCACUCGUGACGUAAAGAAGUCCCCACGAUAACGUCGUGGAAGCAGCUACAAGGUGUGGCAACGGGCUACACGGACUUGGCGUACACACGUUGCUGGGGAAUAGCGCAUGAUGCGACGGGGAGGUGAGAUGUCUAGGAGAGCUCACAGCGACAGUUGGCUAGAGAAUAAUGUCCCGGCGAGCAUGACCAGGGAGG
Molecule: long non-coding RNA, 1337 nt
Filed under: Zea mays
Lineage: Eukaryota; Viridiplantae; Streptophyta; Magnoliopsida; Poales; Poaceae
Description: long non-coding RNA (ZMAY_LNC002406)
Source: RNAcentral